AGAUCAACGAUGUGUACAGUAUCUGAGGAUGGUGAUUGACUCAUGACUAUGCCAAUCUGACUUCC
Molecule: non-coding RNA, 65 nt
Organism: Mesocricetus auratus (golden hamster)
Lineage: Eukaryota; Metazoa; Chordata; Mammalia; Rodentia; Cricetidae
Source: Rfam